AACUCUGUAUUUUAGGUAUAAAUUUGCCAGUCACAAUUUUAUUUAAUUUAACAUUAUUCUAAAUCCCAGUCUUUAUAGCAUAGAAAGAAAAAUGUCCAAACUGACAUGAGGUACUAUUUGUAGGAAUCUUGAAGCAGUAAAAUAGAAGUUAAUAUUUUACUUAAACAAAUAGAAUAAUCAAUUCCUACUCCAUUUCUUGUUCGUCCACUCCAGAAAGAACUGAAUCAGUCUCCUUGCUGAAUAAGAAAGAAGGUUCUUUCUUUGUGUCUUCAGGAGUUCACCCGAUUUGGGACUUCCUGAGUCGAGUCCAAGGACCAUACUCCGAAAGGAGCUAUUUGGUCAUUAGCCAUCUCUCCACUAAUUAAAACUCUUUGCAGAAGAAUGCAUGCCCACCUCUCACAACAGCUUCUCCAGCCCCUCACUGGAACCUCUUCACUUCUGACCAUCUUGAGCUCCUCUCCUUCCCAGGUGUAACUGAAUUAUCCGAGGACUUGGACGUUGCCAUCAUAUCUAGCAGAUUUACCUGGGGCUCCAUGUCUCCUAUAUCCAUCUGCCCAUGUCUUAUAAUAUCAACCAGAAAGGUGUGGCACUGAAGAAUUUUGCCAAAUAUUUUCUACAGUGAUCCCAUGAAGAGAAGGAAUAUUCUGAGUCAUUGAUGAAACAUCAAACUAAAGAGGCAGCCCGAUUUUCCUUUGGAACAUGAAGGUUAGGAAAGUGGACUGAAUGAGAUGGAAUAUAGUCCAAAAAAUUCCAAGCAAUAAUUACUGGAAUUGUACAAUUUCACAACUGACAAAAUGAUGUUCAUUUGUGUGAUUUCAUUUUCCUAGUUGAACAAGUAAAAUCCACCAAAAAAAUUGGAUUAUCAAGUAUCCAACCUGCACAAAAUGGGGACCUUUGAUUGUGGCAUCUUUUUUAAACAAAUAUACUGUUGGAGAUAGUGACAAAUACAGAUGAGAAUCAAUCUGGCUUCAGGACAACUUUGA
This is a long non-coding RNA of Sarcophilus harrisii (Tasmanian devil), 983 nucleotides long. RefSeq lists it as uncharacterized. The transcript has 3 exons. Lineage: Eukaryota; Metazoa; Chordata; Mammalia; Dasyuromorphia; Dasyuridae. The record is from RefSeq and is a predicted model, not a curated record.